This 533-nucleotide long non-coding RNA is filed under the name Ananas comosus (pineapple). Its description in RNAcentral is "long non-coding RNA (ACOM_LNC019988)". The record is from RNAcentral. Lineage: Eukaryota; Viridiplantae; Streptophyta; Magnoliopsida; Poales; Bromeliaceae.
AGGGGGAGAGAAACCCUCCUUUCUCUCUCUAAAUAUCUCUCUCAUCUCUCUAUAUCUCUCUCUAAAAAUUGGAGGGUUGGUGGAGAUCGAGCUUGCGAACGCGUUGGAGGCGACGGAUCGAGCUUUCGUGCGCCCGUUGGAGCGGCGUGUUUUCGUUGCGGCGUUCACAUUGGGGUAAGCUUUUGGAAUUUGGCUUAAUCCUUAGCUUUAAGAGUUCUAGUAGCCUCUAAUGAUUAUUAUUAGCAUAUUGCUCCAUUUAAUUUGGAUUAUUUGGAGGUUAUUUCAUGUUAGGGCUCAAAAAUGCUAAUUUUGAAAAUAUGAGGGUUUGAUCUAAUUUAACCCUCCGUAAACCUAAUUGCUAGGUAACGAAACACGUUGGCGAAGACAAUUCGGCAAUCCGACGAGCCGUUACAAAGUUAUUAAAGAAACGGACGUUUAGGCUUCGUUUUCGCCUGGAGGGCCGAGGCGACGUCGUAUACUCAUGAAAACGGAUUUGAAGUAUCGUGGCACAUAACCGAAGACCUUUAAUUUUC